GCGCGCCCCGCCCUUGCCCAGAGUCUUCCCGGGAUUGGCUGCGGGCCUCGCGACCCUCCUGCUUCCCUCCCCGCCCCGCGCCGCCUCUCUGGUUUGUGCGCCCGUCGCAGGUCGCAGGCCUCUUUGUCAGCUGGAGUUGCGCGGGCUGACGCGCCACUAUGUAGCGGGUUUCGGGCGGGCCACGCGUGCGGGACAGGAACCCAACCCCAGCCGACCUUGAGCUCCAGGAGUUCGUCUCUUACGUCUGCGGAAGUGCAGCUGCCUCAGUUCUUAGCGCAGGUUGACAACUACAGGCACAAGCCAUUGAAGCUGGAAUGUCCUGUUGCUGGUAUUUCAAUUGACUUAAGCCAACUAUCCCUUCAGUUACAAUAGGAAAGUGCCUCUAAUAAGGCCAAAUAUGCGUACUAACUUGUAGCAACCACGUGUCCGUGCAGUGCCACAGGAGCUAGAGCAGUGACAAUGCUGGUGGCAACAGGGCAGUGUAGCAGGUGCUUCAUGUUCACCUUUUCAACCUUUUCAUUUAAUUGUCACAACUCGGAGGUGGAUUCUGUUAGGGACAGGCUGCCCCAGGACCACUCCGCCCCCGCUAACUCAAUGCAGCUGACCCUUACCCUGAAUACUCUGCAGCUGCAUUCCUGAACCGUUAUCUAGGCGCUAUAGCAAGGUCACCAGACUUGCUACACCGAAGCCCUCUGGGUGGCACGGGGGAGGUCAUGAGAAACGUGGAUUACACCCCCUUGUAAAUUCCUAUUUUCACAAGAUAAUAUAUUGUAAGCCGGUCAUGAGAUUAUAUGUGGUAAAGUUAAUUGACUAACAACCCCAGGGUCUCUCUCCCCCAUAUAAACCCCUCAUUUUGUAAGCUCAGGGCUG
RNAcentral lists this long non-coding RNA (870 nucleotides) under Homo sapiens (human). RNAcentral's name for it is "non-protein coding DANCR:2". The record is from RNAcentral. Lineage: Eukaryota; Metazoa; Chordata; Mammalia; Primates; Hominidae.